GUGAUUUGAUUAGGACACAUACUUCUGGACAUACCAUAUUUUGAUAUUGAAUUGUAUGGAAUGUAAAGAAGUAUGGAGUGCUUUCAAUUCAA
Molecule: microRNA precursor, 92 nt
Filed under: Tetranychus urticae (two-spotted spider mite)
Lineage: Eukaryota; Metazoa; Arthropoda; Arachnida; Trombidiformes; Tetranychidae
Description: microRNA tur-mir-1 precursor
Gene: tur-mir-1
Rfam family: mir-1 microRNA precursor family (bases 8-85)
About the family: This family represents the microRNA (miRNA) mir-1 family. miRNAs are transcribed as ~70nt precursors (modelled here) and subsequently processed by the Dicer enzyme to give a ~22nt product. In this case the mature sequence comes from the 3' arm of the precursor. The extents of the hairpin precursors are not generally known and are estimated based on hairpin prediction.
Source: miRBase by way of RNAcentral